CUACGAAGGGGGCUAGCGUUGUUCGGAAUUACUGGGCGUAAAGCGCACGUAGGCGGAUUGAUAAGUUAGGGGAGAAAUCCCGAGGCUCAACCUCGGAACUGCCUUUAAUACUGUUAGUCUCGAGUCCGGAAGAGGUGAGUGGAAUUCCUAGUGUAGAGGUGGAAUUCGUAGAUAUUAGGAAGAACACCAGUGGCGAAGGCGGCUCACUGGUCCGGUACUGACGCUGAGGUGCGAAAGCGUGGGGAGCAAACAGGAUUAGAAACCCUAGUAGUCC
Molecule: ribosomal RNA, 274 nt
Filed under: uncultured bacterium
Lineage: Bacteria
Description: partial 16S ribosomal RNA
Rfam family: Bacterial small subunit ribosomal RNA
Source: RNAcentral